RNAcentral lists this non-coding RNA (216 nucleotides) under Clostridiaceae bacterium. RNAcentral's name for it is "6S RNA". It matches the Rfam family "6S / SsrS RNA". From Rfam's summary of the family: E. coli 6S RNA was the first non coding RNA to be sequenced, but its function was unknown until recently. It consists of 184 nucleotides that fold into an extended hairpin structure with a large single-stranded internal bulge. Lineage: Bacteria; Bacillati; Bacillota; Clostridia; Eubacteriales; Clostridiaceae. The record is from RNAcentral.
AUGUUCCUGAAGUGUUCGAUUAUAACCUAUUAUUUUGAACCUACAGUAGACUUACGGGAACCCGAUUGUUUUUAUCGGUAUUACAGGCCUCAAGAUAAUUCCGACACCGGUUCAAAUCGGUUGCAACGGCAGAGGAAGUAAGAGCGGUAAAGCAGGGUACCCACCUAGCAUUUGGCUAGGUGUCAAAAUAUAGGGAAACGGCAUUUCGGGACAUGA